Solenopsis invicta (red fire ant) is the source of this 10063-nucleotide RNA transcript. It is a transcript of the gene named GTPase-activating protein CdGAPr, with no coding region annotated. The record is from RefSeq and is a predicted model, not a curated record. NCBI's taxonomy places the organism in Eukaryota, Metazoa, Arthropoda, Insecta, Hymenoptera, Formicidae. The transcript has 8 exons.
UGGGGUCACUCGAAUUCCUAUCGAUCUUGACACGAGGCACCCCUUAACGAAGGGAUAUCUUGAGCGAACGCUCGAUAUCCCGAGCAGAGGACGAGUGCGCGUCUCUUUGGAAAAAACGGUGUUCAAGUUCCGCGUCGUGUCUGUGCAGAGAAACUGCGGGAAGGAAGCUGCGAUGGCCCGAUCGAGAGGAACGUGAGAGCCCUGCCGUCAUCCUGGCGCGUGGCAAAUCGGGUCAAAGGCCCGGCUCCUCGUCCUCGUCGUCCUCGUCCACAGAGAGGAUGCAAAAGAUGCCCGGGCCGUCGAUGACGCAGGAGCGACCCCGUGCCCACCGGCUCACCGACAUCGAGUCUCAGACGAAGGGCUCGAGCGGUAGUCGGAUGGACGAUUUCGGCACGCCUGUCAGUUCUGGCAGUAACAUGAGUAGCAUCGCGCGUUUUCCGAAGCUUGACGAGUGCGCCCAUUUUCACUAUGAGCACGUUGAGCUUGGUACUCUGGAGGUAUCCGUCAACGAGGGUACCAACGACUCUGAGAGCUACGCCGUACGAAUAACAUCUGGAGAUGCGUGCUGGACGCUGCAGAGGUCCUACGACAACUUCGUCAUGUUCGAUAAGCAACUGCAUCGCUGCAUAUUCGACAGAAAGUUUUCCUCCUUAACGAAGCUUCCAGAUGUUCGGCCAAAAAAUGCCUGUGAUAUACUGAAGGAUUACUUGAGCCGGUUCUCGCAGCUGAAUCAUGAGGGCCUAAACUGCGGCCCGGUAUUAAAUUGGUUACAACUCGAUAACAGGGGAAGAAGGAUUCUGGUACCGGAAUCGGAUUCCUGUCCUAUCAAUACUCCAGCUGUCGCCGCGGCAUACGCCGUAAGACCUUACACUGCUCAAGCACAAGAUGAGAUCUCUUUCCAGGUAGGCGACAUGAUAUCCGUAAUAGACAUGCCCCCACCAGGGGAAAGCACGUGGUGGCGCGGAAAGCAUGGAUUCGCGGUUGGAUUUUUUCCGGCCGAAUGCGUCGCCGUAAUAGGAGACAAAGUGCCGCGUCACCUGACGGUAUCGACGACGGUCAGAUCGAGGUUACCAGUGAAGCCCGUGCUCCGAAAACAUGGAAAAUUAAUCGCCUUUUUCAGAUCCUUCAUACUAAAUCGGCCCUCUAGGCGAAGAUUAAAGCAAUCGGGUAUACUGCGAGAACGCGUGUUUGGUUGCGAUUUGGGAGAGCAUCUAUUAAACUCUGGCCAAGACGUACCCACCGUUUUGACGUGCUGCGCGGAAUUCAUAGAGAAACAUGGUCUAGUCGACGGUAUAUAUCGCCUUAGUGGCGUGACGUCCAACAUUCAAAAAUUGCGAAACGCCUUUGACGAGGAUAGGGUACCAGCGUUGCAUUCCGAUGAGAGUAUUUUGCAAGACAUCCACUCCGUAGCGUCAUUAUUGAAGAUGUAUUUUAGAGAGCUGCCGAAUCCAUUGUGCACGUAUCAACUUUACUCCACUUUCGUCAAUGCGGUUCAAGCUGGCAGCGACGCCGAGAGGUUGAGACGUAUGAGAGACGCGGUUAGAAAGUUACCGCCACCGCACUACAGGACGCUGGAGUAUCUGAUGCGUCAUCUGGUGAGGGUAGCUGCGCGUGGCACUGAAACGGGCAUGACUCCGCGCAACGUGGCCAUCGUCUGGGCGCCGAAUCUCUUGAGAUGCAAGGAGUUGGAAGUAGGUGGCGUGGCGGCGCUUCAGGGUGUCGGAGUCCAGGCGGUCGUGACAGAAUUUCUAGUCUGCUACGCGGAGCUCAUAUUCGGGGACGGCCCUGUCGGCAGACCAAAGUCUUUAGCGAUUACUACGUCUGCGCGACUACUCACGUUGGAGGAGGCGCGCAACAGAAGCCUCCGUGGCGAGCCUGAUUACAUAGAAGUAGGAGCGGGUCCGGCUGGCCUGCCUCUGCGCUAUCAUACCGUCAUAGAGCUACCGCGUAAGCGAAAUGGCUCGAAACGAUCACCCUCACUAAACUGGCGGGCACUAUUCGGUAGGGGCGCCAUCGGGAAAACGAGACAAAUUGGCACACCACCUCAGACAGAAACAGUGCCAAGUUCCUUGAACUCCCUGCGACGAUUGAGACCUGUGAAAAGCGCCGACAGUUUAGACGGCGAGGAUGGAUUGGGUCCUCUCUUGGGAGGGCCACCUCCUAUUAGAACCUGCGGUCACAGUCGAUCUGUCUCGCACGACUCGUACUUUGAUCACUUGGCCGAUGCGCCCAACGCAUCUUCGCCGUUGGAUCUCUCGGAGAUACAACUCAAUUUUGAUCUCGAAGAGCGAGAAAUGCGGAUGCUCUCGGAAGAGGAAGGUGGAGGAGUAGCGUCGGUAGAGGCGUCACCGCGUCGACAGAGAACCGAGGGAAAUCAGUGUGCCGCCGCAACCGGUGGGUCCAAGAGGAAAAGAUCUCGUUUGGAGGAAAGAUUGCAUUGCGAAGUCGAGUUGCGUUUUAUAGACAGCCAAAGUCCCGAUCAGGUUAUGACAAGCGCGGAUAUUCACAGUAUCGAUACACCGUCUCCGUUACAAACGCCAGGCUAUCUACCGUUAUUGUCGGAAGCCUCUACGCCGUUGACGCCCGCUACGUUGCAGGGCACGUCUCACUCUACGUCACCGAUACCAGCUAACAGUCCCAGAAUAAGUUUCCGAAGUUUUACUUUGCCAUUAGAGAUUGGUGAUGAGCGCGACGGAAGUAGUACGAAUAAGCUAAAGGAAAUGAGUGUGACGUCUUCUGAAAAGUCGUCGGAACCUAGCCAUAGAUUAUCCGUAAAUUUAGACGACCGAAACAAGAGAUUGGAGUCAUGCGAGAGGAUUAUGACCUACGAUGGGCGGGCGGAGUUGCGUGAUAGAAACGCGACCACAUCGCGAACGGAAAAUCGCGUCGCGACUCAAUCAAGUGCGGUUGCCUCGAUCUUUAAUGAUACAGAGAUGACGCCAUGCAACAGAUUAUCCUCUUCGUGCGAAGAAACCACGUCUGGCGGGGUUGCCGUGUCUCGCAAGGAUGUGACAGGUGCACUGACAUUGCAUACCAUGGAGAUCUCGUCUAAAUCGUACGAAGAAAAGAAGGAGGCAGCGAAAGGAUGCGACGAGUCUACCGAUCCGUCAAAUAGUCUCACCACCGUAGGCGAUUUGCCGAGAUUGCCAUCUAACAUGACCGAUCUCGAUUCUCCGAUGUCGUGCGAGCAAACUCUGCAGGAGCUGCAAGAAUCCGGAUUUGUAAUUUGCGACAACUCCGACAAAGUGUUUAUCAGUACGGAAAAUCCGCGCGCCACGAGCAGCAAUAAUGAUUCUGGUGAUUGGGUGAUUGUUGGAGGAAUGACGGCUAAUUCCUUUGCCACGCCGAUUAGCGAAUCGACUAGUCCCAACCAUUCUUUUGUGGAAAGCGACGCGAAUCCAACGUCGGAGGACGUUUCCGGCGCAUUACUGGAGCUCACGUUACCUCCGACCGCGGAUGCAUUUCGCAUGGGAGUCGACAACUCGACGGGAAGUCGUGUGACGACGCGGGAAAGCGAGGAGAUGAUUCUCGAUGUUACCGAUACGAAGAAGUACGCGAGUCACGAGGACGAGCGGCAGAAGGCCGAUCCGCAGACGAGUUUCGGUCUCGUAAACGAGGAUAAUCUCACGGACGACGCUCAUUCUCGGCUGCGCGAUCGGGAGAACGGCAAUCGAUUGUCGUGUACGGAUGUUAAUUCCAGUCAAGAGUCUAACGCGAGGGAGCAGCAGGUUCGCGCGUGUUACAUCGAGGCGGACAAUGCGAACGUAUUUGGUACAAAUCGAAAUGAGGUGCGCGACGACAAAGAGUUGUUUAGGGAGACGGAAACUAUCGCCGACUUCGAGAACUAUCGCCGUCUGCCGAGAGACACGAGCGCGCAGCAACGAGAUUGCGCGACGCGCACCUUGCACGCCACGAAUCAUUCACGAUUCUCGAAUAAACCCGUGGGGGAUCAGGAAACGAGCGUUACGCGGGACAACGAUCGCGACAACGACCACUGCAUGAACGGACUGUCAAAGAAGUGCCAAAGUUUCGGAUACAAUAACCCGCAGAAACAGCAGAGUAAUACGCAGCAAAUGCGAAAAUGCGCUUCCAAACGUGGCGAGGAGGGUCACAAGUGCGCCAGCUUGCAAGCCAAUCAGAUACGAGGCAACAUUGAUGUGAGAAUUCCCUCGGAGAACGCGGCCGAGCCUUGCGAAGUGGCGCACGCUCCAGAAGGGGCGUCCGAACUGAUGGAACGGACAUUGGACGCGUCGAGUACGUUCACGAACGUCUCGUCCUCGACCGUCGACGACACGGCGGUUCUUCCACCGCGGGACACCGCGGCGAUCCUGCAGGAGCUCGCUCUACAAAGAUUAUCCGGAGGCGCGGUGGGAGACGUGUCCACGCCUAUAAGAAGAAAAUACGAGAGCGAAACGAUCAGAGAACGAAGAAGCUUCGACUCGGAGAUUGGUCGGGAGAUCGUCAGGGAGAGCAAGAUGAGGCAGGAAUUGGAUUGCGCAAGAGGCAAGUCUGAGGAGCCGUCGCAACAUUUGCCACCCUGUUUGCGGGCGCGUCACGCGAGGGCAACUCGGGCGGCGCUGAGCCGCUCCUUGGACGAGGCCAAGUUCAAUCGAAUGACGGGGGACAUCUCGUUGUCGGUGAAGCCGACGUCCGAGGACGUGCAGCACUGCUCGACGCCCAACGUCGGCAGUAGCUCCGGCACCUGCUCGAGCGUGUCCGAGAAGAUCCAACUGAGGAAUCUUGGCGGCCUAGACCUGGGAGACCCGCAGUGUAGAGAAAGAAUCGAAAAGUACAAAGAGGAGAGAAGGACGUUCUUAAGGGACAAAUAUCGGUCGGAGAGUUUCCGGGGGGUUUCAUCGAAAACGGAAGACGACGGCGAGCAGGCGUUACUAACCAGGUUGAAACAGAGGGCCUCGAGACCCUCUCUUCAUUGAUGAAAACCAUGUCUGCAUAAGACAAGGGAAAAGAGAGAACGAGUUUGAUCUCUCUAUAGUAGUAUAAAUAAGUUCUCAGAACCGUUAACGCGUAAUGCGAUAUCCCCUUAUUUACCUGCAUCUUAGAACAAAGUUCAAAUUCGUAGGGCGGCUGAAUUAAUUGUAAUGACCAAAUUCUCUCAACCUUGUUCUUAACGCCACGCGUCUGCUUGUGUUUUUCGAAUAUAGGGCAACUAAUUAGAACGGCGGGACGUCGAGCGAAUGAUACAUCUAAACGACUCCACUAAAUCGCUUUCACUCGAAUCUCACCGAUGGCCGCGCGGCACACCGCGGCUGAUAUUGAAGGUGAAUUACGACGAGGACGAUAAAACGAGUUGCGCGAUCCAUGACUCAUCUUCGCAUCGUCGAUCGCCAUUGUUAGAUGAAUUGUACGAACGCUUUUAAAGCUCAUUAUUAAUUUAUUACGGACUCGAAAGAAGGUAUUCAUUUUUAUUAUUGUUAGAAGCUUUAAUAACGAUUCUCUUUGUAAUUAUUAUUAUCAUUAUUAAUAUUAUUUGAUUUUUAUAUUUACUCAUAUUCUUUGUACUGUUACGCUAGCGAAAGAAAAAACGCGCGCUCGCGCGCGCGCGUAUUGUUUUAACUGCGCUUUGUAUGUACCAGAGUCAAAAAUAUCUCGCAUAGUUUCUCACGACGUCACGCGAGACGUUGAACUCUCACCUGUUGCUUUUACGCGUUUUAGGUAAGAGUCUUAUGGAAAAAAAAUAUGUCUUUCAAUCUUUUUAGAGAAAUACUUUUUACAAGGCGACGCAACAAAUCUCGUCGUCUCUUUAUAGCGAAAUUAUAACUCCCUCGAUAUUCAGACGAGUGUUCUCCAAAAAUUUCUGGUACAUACAUAAAGUUUAGCUUUGCGCAUCGCGAGUUCGUCGGGGAGACUCAACGAAUUCAUUUAUGACGUUACACGAUGGGCGCUUUAUUUGCGUGCCAAUGUUAUUUUCUCGUUAUGGACUGGUCCAUAAUGACGAUACCCACAGAUAUAUCUUUUUGGAAAACACGUUAAUUCUCUCGGUUAGUUAAUACGUGUGUAACAUAUUGAUUUCUAUGACAACGCGCUUGUCGACGGAAGGCUUGCUUAAAAAUCAAGAUUACUAUCGGAUUACUGGUGGUUCUCAUGUCUUAAAUAAGCGCUUACUCUAAUGCGUACCUCGCGCGCAUAGGCCUCGCGUUUCACUACAUUUCGAUUACGAAGUAGCCUUUGCUUGGCUACCUCACCUCGCCUCAUCUCACCCUUAUUGUCCAUUUCUAUAUCCAUGUAGAUUAACUUUAAUCUUAAUUUAACUUGCUCUUUAUCUGUCUCUAGUUUUAAGAAUUAGAAAAAAGGUAAACGAGUAAGUGGAAGAAGAAAUGGACAUAUAUUACAGUUGAAGUUGUACGUCGCGCGAUUUUAUGAUACGUUAGACAGUUUACGUUUAUAGUUUUUAUUUCAUUUUUCUUUUGAUAUAUCUCAUUUUAUUAUAUUUCAUUUUUUCAGCGAUUUUAAUCUUUUCUAUGGAAGAGAGAACGCGAUAAUGUUUUCACGUGUGAAAAAGUUCUUUUUAUUAUUAUUUUUUUUUUUUUCGUAUUCUACAAAGGCGCGAGUGUUUCUUUUUUUUUUUUUAAUACGGUUCGAAGACCGUUUAACAAGACUGGGACUAAUUGUCGAUGCUAAUUAUUGAGCGUCUUGCGUGCGGACGCGAUAAACGGACAAAUUGCAAUUCAAUAUACUCCGAGAGCUGGAAGAGUACGUUUUGAUCUCUUGCAAAUUCUCAAGGCAUUUAAUUAGGAUUAUUACUUGCGCGAUGUUUCAAUUCCUGCAUGCGUAGCGAGGGUUCGAAACCGUGGUUUCCGUAUCAAAUAACGACUCUUUCAUUUUGGUCAUCGACGUGACCGAUUUUUUUUUCUCGUUAAUUACACUGUUCAACAGGAAAAAUGCAUGAGAAUGAAAGUGAUCGUUUCCCGUAGCUUUUUUUGACGUUGAAUUCAAUCCUAUUGGCCAAAUUGCUCUACCACGUCACAAUUUAGAGAAAAUUUCGGUUAAAGUGCAAAAGGACUUUAAUAAAAGGUAUAGUCGAUGAACUGAUAUCGUUUCACAUUUCGAACGAAUUCUUUUGCUUUUAUAUCUUACAUAUCGUUUAUAUUGGAGAUGUUUAAUUCCAAUAUCAUUAAUCGAGUUUUUGUGUCAUUCGAAUAUGAACCCUUUUAUUACAAAUGUAUUAAACUUCUGAUGCGAUUGAUUUUUGGUUUGUUCAUUGGGAAUGUUAAUUAUGUUGUUUAAUACGAUUCAUCCCUUAAAAAGAACGUGUUGUGAUUAUGAUUAAAAGGAUAUUUACGAUUAAUACAGGAGUUUUUCUAUAUGCGUUUGUUGAUAUAGACAUUAUUAGAGCCUCUUUCAUCAACUCCGAUUAAUCUAAUCGGCUGAUUAAUUCAGCCAUUACGUUUAUCACUGAAGAGCUGCAUUUAUGCGUACAUAACUAAUACAUGAUACUGUUUGUACUAUGUUUACCAAUAUGAGAUUAAACACAAUCUAUCGUUAGAAGAGAAAUGAGAGUGUUCUCGUAACUUGUAAAAAUUUUCAACUAUUAAUCAUUGUAUUAUACUUCAGUAAAAUUUUAUUGGUUGCGCCACUGCGCAAAGUUAGAGCUCUCAUGACUUGUAUUUGUGUUAUUUUAUUCACGCGAAUGAUUUUCUAAUAAUUUACAUUAAUUAUCGGAUAUUAUUUAUAAUUGCGCAUAAUACAAGGCACGAAAAGAAUGUUACCCAGUAAAUGAAAAUGGAUUAAAAUGGAUUGAAAAUUUUAAUCAAUUAAAUCCAUUCAAAUGCAUAUUUUAAAUCCAUGGAUUGAAAUUGAUUCCGUGGAAAUAAAUGCAUUUCGAAUAAUAUAGCUGUCAAUGCUUCUGAAGAUAUUAAGAUGGAUUUGAAUAUUAAAAAAAAACUGAUACACAUUUUCAAAUAAAAUUUUUUUUGCUUUAUACAGAUGAAAAUAAUGCAUUUUUUAUUUACAAUUUUGAAUUAAGCAUUUAUGAUUUAUUUUCGCGGAAAAACUUUUUUUAUUUAAUUGAAAACUACAUUUCCUAUCCAGAAUUUUGACUGAGCAGUAUCCAUUUUUUAAAACUGAAUUUAUUUCUGGAUUGAAAGGCAUAAAAAAAUGUGCUUUAUUCAAUUCCUAUAAAUAGAUACACAGAGAUGGGGUUUGAAAUGGAUUCAGAUUUUUAGAAGUACGCAUUUGCGAAUGUUAAGAUGAAUUCUUUUCAAUUCAUUUUAAUUCAUUUUCGUUUACUGGGUAGGUUACAUUGAAAUUAUUGUUGGCACUUUCACGAAUUUAUCGUUGAUUAAUUUAAUUGGAGGUUGAAAGAGGCCCUUAUUAUUACGGUAUUCCAAAUUUUUUAUCAAUGUUUCUUCAAUUUGAUUAUUUUUUUUGCUUGGGUAACUACCAACCAUUUGUUUCUUUUCCUGAACUCUCUGAAUUAGUGUGCACUUAAAAUGAAAUAGAUAUAUAUUUGAAAGUUAGUGAAAGUAAGAAGGAACGUUCCAGUGCAGUCUAGUGCAGGAAUAGAAAACAAGCCUCAAGUUUAACUCGCUAGAUUACCGAACUAGCAAUGUGUUACUUCUUACAUCACUAAACGUGUCACUUCUACUUUUUUGCGCAACAGGAUCUGAUUAUUACAGAUAAUUUUCAUUUCUUUAUAAAAAAAUAAGACCCCACUUCGAAAUACCGUCUCAAAAAUGUCAAUUUGCUAUGUUUUGAAAUUCUGAAAUUGCAUUUGCUUAUAGCGUUUUUCCUUGGUUGCACAAUCGCCCACUAGUACAACGCUCAGACAGUGUAGCGUACUUCCAUGGCUGAUGGCGGCAAAUUUUACUCGCUGUAAUGUUUCCAUGGCUUCAGUGUAGUGUAAGUUACAUGCACGAAGUGUGAUUUACAAUACACUAACGCAAAGGGGCGGUGUAGAGCGAGUGUGUUGUAACCAUGGACUGCAGUGCAGCGUUUGCACGCAAUUGGUACAGUGCAAAGUUACACCAAGCACGUACUCCUAGUGCAUCCUAAAGAAAAACUUUUUUGCAAUUUCAACCGCAACGGGGAAAAAACUACUGGAUAUGAUUACUCUUUUUUUUUGGUUAAACAGUGUUAUUAACGUCAAUUGAAGCCAUACGGUAACCAGGAACACAGUCAACAAUCGCGGAAUUGCCCGCUCCCUCCUCCUUCCCCACCGCAAUCGUUCGUAUGCUCCGUAUUUUAUCUGGCUCGAAUAGCUCUGUCGUCGUGUAUCUCUGUCGUGAAAAUCUGUAUAAGCAGCAUUCAGGCACACUUUGUGCACGUUUACGACCACUGACUGUUAAUGAUAAAAUACUUAUGUCCGGUCUCACCAAUGUAGAUUAAUUUUAAUCUCUUGGAUAACUUGCUGUUUAUCUUUUUCCAAUUCUUAAAGCUGGAGAAAGUUGAAGAGUAAGUUAAACCGAAAUUGAAGUUGAUCUGCAUUGGUAGAAAUGGAUAUUAGAGAUUCAAUAGUCUCGCGCGCGCGCUUCCCCGGGAUACUUUUACCCCGUGAUUGGUAAUAAUGGCCUAAACUGUGGAGAGCGAGGGGUGUCUCAACCGUACAACGCCUGAAAACAAACCCCCUUACAAACGAAGGUACCUAAUGACCGAAUAGAACUUGUGCACAAUGUAACGCGCAAUAUUGAUACAUCCGCGAGCGAUGUGUAUUUUUUAAUAAGUUGGAGAUUCCCUGGCGGUGUCCUUGGAAAAUAGCCGAUUGAGAUCCCUUAUUGAGGACACGAGGGAGAAACGAUGCGAAACGAUAGCUAAGAGCCGUUAGAAAGUAAAGAGUUUCCUGUAAAACUAUACACAUACAUACACACAAAGACUAAUUCUGUAAUAUUCAAAGGCUAAUAUAUAUAUAGAUAUAUAUAUAUAGUAAUCUUGUUUUUGAGUGUAGGAGGCUCGCCUUUAUCCGGCUGGGCGCAUCUUUGCUCUCCCCCCUUUAGUUAUAAUCGCAUGUAAUGAUAAUUGUUUCCGUUAUGAGAGACUACUGUUUGUCGAUUAUAAUUAUAAUAUAUGCAAGUUGUACGUGAAAUAAAUAUAAAUGCUGUAAACACAC